AACGAACGCUGGCGGCAUGCCUUACACAUGCAAGUCGAACGCGAAAGUGUCUUCGGACAUUAGUAGAGUGGCAAACGGGUGAGUAACGCGUGGGAAACUACCUUAUAGUACGGAAUAGCCUUGGGAAACUGGGAUUAAUACCGUAUAUUCCCUCAGUGGGAAAGAUUUAUCGCUAUAAGAUGUGCCCGCGUCAGAUUAGCUAGUUGGUCGGGUAAUAGCCUACCAAGGCAACGAUCUGUAGCUGGUCUGAGAGGACGAUCAGCCACACUGGGACUGAGACACGGCCCAGACUCCUACGGGAGGCAGCAGUGGGGAAUAUUGGACAAUGGACGCAAGUCUGAUCCAGCAAUGCCGCGUGAAUGAUGAAGGCCUUAGGGUUGUAAAGUUCUUUAAGUGGGGAAGAUAAUGACGGUACCCACAGAAUAAGCACCGGCUAACUUCGUGCCAGCAGCCGCGGUAA
Molecule: ribosomal RNA, 460 nt
Filed under: uncultured bacterium
Lineage: Bacteria
Description: partial 16S ribosomal RNA
Rfam family: Bacterial small subunit ribosomal RNA
Source: RNAcentral